Piliocolobus tephrosceles (Ugandan red Colobus) is the source of this 5870-nucleotide long non-coding RNA. RefSeq lists it as uncharacterized. Lineage: Eukaryota; Metazoa; Chordata; Mammalia; Primates; Cercopithecidae. The transcript has 4 exons. The record is from RefSeq and is a predicted model, not a curated record.
CCCUGACUACUCUAGACGGUGCGCCCCGCCGCACGCCGGGGCUGCCUCCUUGCAGUCCUAAGAACUGAGCCUGGAGCAGCCCCGGCACUUCCCUGCAGAGGCUGCGGAGGCGAACUGCGCAGGAAGAGAGCUGGGGACCGAGGUGGAGUGGGCGGUCCCGGCCUUCCAGAGUGACGGGCUGCUCCACCUACCAAAAAUCCCGAACGCCAUGCAAAUACAGGCACUUCGCCGAGCUCACAGCAGCCAACCCUCUCCCAAGACGUGGGGGUGUGGAAAGGCUUCUGGGCGGUGUAGGGCGGUCGGGGAUUGCCAUUGGCUGCAGAACAAGGGGCGGGCCCAGAGGGGCGGAGUUAGGGGCUGGUGACAGGAGCAGAUGGUGGAAAGAAUGCUGCAGUGACCGAGCGCUGGGAGAGGUCCUACCCUACUGAGUGGUGCCUUCCCGCACCCGCAUGCAUUUCCGUACUCGUUCCCUAGAAGUCAGCCUUGGCGGUAGUUGCCCAGAUGUUGGGACACGAGUCCCCAUCCAGAUGUUUCGCAGGAGGUUUCGUGAUGCUUACGUGUUGCAGAGUAGGGAGGCGGUUGGAGGAAGGAGACCAGGGCCGGAGAUGCACUAGGCACUCGAACCCCUCCUCCUCAACCCACGCCGGAGACUUAUUCGGAGGCCCCUCCUGAACAGGCACGGGAUUAGGAAGUUAAAGCAGAAAGGGUGUUUGGAAAUCGCUGUCGUGUGUGUGUGUGUGUGUGUGUGUGUGUGUGUGUGUGUGUUCUUUGCCUGGUUAGCUUGGCCUGCCGGUUAACUGAGAUCAGUGUAAAGUGUCCUUAACAAAAAUCUCCAGCCUUCCAAACUGCCCAAAGUAGGUUGGGGAGGGGAAAAGAGACAGGAGAAAUUAACAGGAAGAGAGAGUCUGGUAAAUGAAAGUUUCCUGGUCGAAACGUGUGUGGGGGAGUCAAGUGUAGGAAGUUUUAUCUGGAUAUGAGUUUGUUGGAGACUUUAGGUUUGAGAAAAUUUUCCGUCUCCCCCUUUUCCCUGAAUAGAUAUAAAGCCAACAUUUGCCUUAAUUUAGGAGACAGUUUGAUUUGCUAACCUGUGACAUGGAUUAUUUCGUGUUGUCAUUCGCCACACCUAUUUUAAAAGUCAGACAUCAAUUUGGAACAAAUCCAUCACUGAGGUGCACUUAUUUAAUAGUGAAAGUCUACUCGAAGGUACUCCCAACCACAUUUUCUUUGGCAGAAUGACCCACCCACCCGGGACUGGGGCGGAUAAGCGCGUCUUCCAAGAAACAGCAACCGCUAGCUGGGGGAAGUGUGGGUGAGCGGUGCUACGCUUUGCUGAAUUCUUGCCCAGGCGUUUGGAGUUCAGAAGCUCGAGAUCAAGUUCGUACUGGUCGUGUUCAGGAAGUUUUCGAUGUCUGCAACCCAACCUCUGCGGGGCCAGAGAACCUCCAACUCCCGGCUGCAAGCGGUUCCCGGGACAGAACAUUCCUUCCGAUUCUGACCCCAGCGCGACCCCCAGGGCUGAGUGUCACUCACGAAGUGACUCACCGGGAGCCGCCGCCUGCACUGUACUUACAUCACUGUCGGCGAAGGCUGGCGCAGUGGAACCGACCUGAGCCCUGGUCCCUCCACCACGCUGUCCAGGACCAGCCGCCAGCAGCCCGCCCCUCUCACUUCCUGAGUACAUGUUCCCAAGUGUCCCCGAGUUUACGCAGCCCCAUCCUGGGUCCGGUCCCCCACCUUCGGAAGCAAAUUGAGAAAGCCAGAUUGACUUUAACACCUCUGGUUUGAAAAUGUGCCUGAGCAGCGGUAAUGGUCAGAGAGGAUUCAGAUAGCACAGCCGCCAGCACCGGACCCGUGCGCCCCGGCUGUGCUACGGGAGACUUCUUUGCAACUACUUUGAGCCCAAGACGUUUUCUUACAAAACUGUUGAGGGAGAAAUAAAUGAGGCAGAGGGUUUCCCUCCCGCUUUUAUAUUCUCAGCAAUAACUUCUUUCUAGCUUUUCUUUCCCUCUCUCACUGGGAGGUUGUUUGUUCUUCGAAAUGACUUAUUCGCUCUUAAUUUUUAAAAUCUAAUCCAUUUAUUUUAAACUUCUAAAACAUGAGAACAAGUGUAUUUCUGAGCACUAACCCGACUCUACUUGGAAAUGUGAGGAGAAAAUAGUGUCUCCGUAGGGAGCGUCUUCAAAUUUUAUGUUAUUUAGGUGGAAAAUUCAUGUUGUAUAGGUGUGUGUUAGGCGAAUUGUAGCUCCCAUGUGGCUAACGUCAGGCCUGCCUGGGUGUGAGUCUUCCAGUGUUUUAAGGAUUUUGGUAAUGCCAAUAAAAAAGGUCCCUGUUCUGAGGAUUAGUACAGUCUACUAAGUGAGCAAUUACAAAUCGAGGCAGCUGAACACAUUUGACAUUUCUUUUUUCAGGGGGUGGAUUGAGGGAAGAAGGGAGUAGAGGUAAAGAUGUGGGCGUCGGAAAUUGUUCUGACUGCAGAGCAGAGCUGAGCUCCCACAGCUGAGUCUAGGGCGGGGCCCACCCAGCGUUCAUUCAAUUCUCACUAUUGAGAACGAUAAGGGAGUUCGCGGUGCUCACCGUGCCGCAGGGCCUUCCCGGCACAACGUUGGAGAGUCGUCUGGGGCCUGGACAGCGCCCGGGCGGGCUGGGAAGCGGCGCCAGAGGACGACCUGGGCGGCGAACUCACGCUUUGGCCCUUUUGCCCACGCAGCUGAUCCUCCCAUUGCUCUAGAGAGUCGCAGUCUCUGCCGUGAAAUUCCCACGCUGGGCAGUCGCUCUUGCUCCACCCUUGGCAAGCGCUACCUCUCCCAACCAUAUUCCCAUUCCGCAGAUGCAGAAGCCAAGGUUCAAACCUGGACAGAACUGGUAGCCAAAUUAACCGUGAACCCAGUUUGAGCUUCUGCCCUUAACCUUUGCUCAGCAGUGCGGUGGUCCCCACGCUUGGAUCCUGGGCAUCAGCGAACUGCCACCACUAAAACCGAGGGAAAGUUUUACCUCUGAUAAACUCAUUCAAAAUGUUUGCAUUUGGAAAUGGAGAAAGGAGAGAAUUCUAUUUCAGCACGCCUAUAUGGUUUGUGUUUUAUUUUGGUCGGUUUAUUUGGUAUUACCUAAUGGGGUGCGCAGCUAGGGCCUCUGAGGGCAUCUGGGAGGCAGCUCCUCUCUUUUAGGACAGGGCAGGGCCGCCACAGGGGCUCUCUCCUCUCCCUCUUUCCCCAGGUACUGCUGCCAACAACCCUCUGUGCGAGCCCAAUCGGGUCACUCUAAAAUUUCACAUCUGUAGAAUGGGACACUUGAGCCAAAAGAUCCCCGCAGUAUUUUCCGCCUGAAGUUUCUCAGAUUCUAGGCUCGUGAUGGGAGGCUCCGCAGCUGCUCGAGCCCUGCGGCCGGCUCCGCCUCCCCAACAGCCGCCCUCCGGGGCCGAGCUCCCCCAUACCCUCUGCGGGACCGCAAAGCAGGCGUUUCCUGGGGCCGCCUGGACCGGUGGCCCAGAGCCCCCGUUCCUGCCACCGGAAUCCGGACCCUCCUCCCGCGCCCCUAGCCAGCGAGGCGGCGCCUCGGGGGUUAGCAGCUGCGAGCUCGCUCCGCCUUCUUCGGCUGCCCGGGUGUGAAGGGCAGUCGGCGCCGCAGCGGCUCCGAUGCCCGCCCGGAAGGGAGCGCUCUGGUCCCGGUCUCGCAGCUGCGGGACAGCCGGGAGCGGAGCAGGGGGCAGCCGCGGCCAGUUGUCUCCCCAGUGGACUGGGAAAGGAACUUUGUCUCGGCCUGGACUCCCGCUGUACCUUUGUUGGGGGUUAGUGGGGAGACUGCGGUCGUCAGAGCUCCUGGAUGUCGCGGGCGCCGCGAUCCCCUCUUCCCCUAUAAGGGCCGAGGGCGCUGCUCGACGCUUGGGAACCCCUGGCCAGAGACCGGCACUGGCGCGGCCCCGCGGAUGCCGCUGGCCAAGCCGACGACAGAGAUGAGAAAUUCCUUGCAAGAGUGGCUGGAAGCCCCCGCGGAGAAGGAAUAAGCGCUUCCCAGAGCGAGCUCCCACUGCGCCUUGGGAAUGGUGCACUCUCCAGUCCCAGCUGGACCCUCUGACAUUGUCACAGGAAGCGCUGCCAUGUAUGAGGAGCCCUCUGCAAACUACAGGCGAAGGAUGACUGCUCUUGGCCUAUCAAUAAGAUUUUGACACUCAGGUUGGUUUGAUGACUUGUGUCAUGAGGAGUAGGGGUGUGGGCUGAUUCCAAAUUCUUCUUCCACGCGGCAUCCUGCUCUGGGCCGGAGCCUCCCUUGUCUCCUAGAGAAUGGGGCAGGGAAUGGAAGGAUGGGGAGCCUGAGGGAGAGGCCGCUAUUCCGCAGGCUGUCUCCUGGCUGGCUCCUGAAGGGCUGGCUGCUUCCCCCACCUGGAAGUCCAGGCCCCUGUCGGGAAGUCCUCUCCGCACAGCCUGACAAUCACCUGGUUCUGUUACAAUUGUUCUCCUCACGCUUCAGGCCUACGACGGCAAGGACAGCUCCCACUUACCAGAGCCAAGGCACGAUGCCGUUCCUGGGUGUCCUCUUCUCCUCCAGCUCCUUUGUAAGUCACAUGCUCCUCUAUUGACCGGCAUAUGAUACACCAGAGCUGCCUUGCUUUUCCGAAUCUGGUCAAGCUGUAGAACACUUCUGAGCCUCGGUACCACCAGCCAUCUGUGGUCCUCCAUUUGUCCUCUUCUCCUACAAAUACCUCCAGCCCCUCUCUUCCUCCAUGAUGCUUCUAGCAUUGGAAAUCCUCCAGGACAAUUCUGCCUUCAACUUUCCUGGCCGGAGCCACUGAGUUGAUGGAGGGAAACAUGAUAGAGAUGACUGGUCCUGCUUUAAUUUUCGCACUCCUAUGAGCACAUAAAGGUGCUCUGCCACUCUCCUAAGUGUCCCCAGGAGGCCCGCUUUCCCAGUCUCUGAGACAAACAUUUCUUAGCCUUCUCUCCUGCAAGAGAUAUUUCUCAAAGUGUCUUUGAACAUGUAGAUACUGACAGAAGAUGAUCUAUCCUUUCCACCACCAAACCUCCACACCAGUUGGCACUCCACCCUUGUCACAGGGAGGAAGUUGCAGGCUAGUUCCAGCAGACAGUGAACCUCAGUAGUGCUUUGCUUCUCAGCCUUUGCCAUCUCCUUGUCCCUGAGCCAUCUCCCUGUGGCGGACACUGAUGGGCCACCAGCACUGCAUCAGUGAAGGACUUGCUGCCCGAGCCACUGGCAUGCUGUCAACGUGGCCUCCUGCAGCCCGCCUCUCCACCAUUGCAGAGAGCAGCUAGGCUGGAGGGCUGUCCUGCAGCUGCGAGGCCGGGACCAGAGUCCUCCCUUCGGGCGGGCAUCAGAGCUUCUCCAACGCCAUUGGAGUAUGGUUUCCUAAAUGGUACCUCUAAAGGGGACACUGUGUUCCUCCCAUCAGAGGAUGCAACAACAAAUGCAAUGUCAUGGAAGUGGAGAGCAGCCCUUGCCAGACACCAAACCCAUCAGCACCUUGAUUUUAGACUACCAGCCUCCAGGACAAUUUGACCAUGCGCCUUGAUUUGUCCAAUGACACAUCAGCAAACAUGACUCAAGUGGAGUUGUAAGAAGCCCUUGUGCAUUGGGGCAUAUUGGAACAUUGCCACCACUUUCUUCAUGAUGAAAGAUCUCUUGGAGACAGAAGCCCAACCAGCUCAUCUGCCUCCGAGACUCAACUGAGCUCAGUUCCCAACUGCCCCUCCAGAUGAACAUUGCCACCUAAGUGGGAUGCAUAAAAGAACUACCCAGCUAGCCAACAGGAUCACAAGAAACAAUACACUGUCAUCUUAAGUCAUUAAGUUUUGAGGUCGUUUCUUAUGCAGCAAUUGAUAAUGGAAACAGUGGGUAUCUUUAAGUUUGUUAUAGACAUA